UGGCCAGACUCCUACGGGAGGCAGCAGUGGGGAAUAUUGCACAAUGGGCGAAAGCCUGAUGCAGCGACGCCGCGUGAGUGAAGAAGUAUUUCGGUAUGUAAAGCUCUAUCAGCAGGGAAGAAAAUGACGGUACCUGACUAAGAAGCCCCGGCUAACUACGUGCCAGCAGCCGCGGUAAUACGUAGGGGGCAAGCGUUAUCCGGAUUUAUUGGGUUUAAAGGGUGCGCAGGCGGAGGUGCAAGUCAGCGGUCAAAUUGCGGGGCUCAACCCCGUACUGCCGUUGAAACUGCAUCCCUUGAGUGCGCGAGAAGUAUGCGGAAUGCGUGGUGUAGCGGUGAAAUGCAUAGAUAUCACGCAGAACUCCGAUUGCGAAGGCAGCAUACCGGCGCGCAACUGACGCUGAAGCACGAAGGCGUGGGUAUCGAACAGGAUUAGAUACCCUUGUA
This 446-nucleotide ribosomal RNA is filed under the name uncultured bacterium. RNAcentral's name for it is "bacterial SSU rRNA". It matches the Rfam family "Bacterial small subunit ribosomal RNA", at positions 328 to 792 of the family's 1533-position model. The record is from RNAcentral.